AAAUUUGUUUAAAAUUCAAAGAACCUGGCGGUACUUUAGUCUAGUUAGAGGAACCUGUUGUAUAAACGAUAAACCACGUAAGAUCUUUCUCACUCUCGUAAAGCCAGUAUACCUUCAUUGUUAGAUAAUCUUUUCUUACAUGGAUUAUUGGAAUUGGGUUACCAAGUAUAUUAGAUCAAGGUGCUGCUGAUGAGUGAGUACAAAUGGGUUACAGUAUUUUUGGAGAGGCGGAUAAUAUCAAGAAUUUGAUAUUUGAAGAUGGAUUUAAUUGUAAGUUUUGGUUUCAGUAAGGCAAAAUGAUAGUAGCUCUAAAGUGUGUACAUAUUGCCCGUCGCUUUCAUUAAGUCAGAUGAGAUAA
Molecule: ribosomal RNA, 358 nt
Filed under: Panulirus penicillatus
Lineage: Eukaryota; Metazoa; Arthropoda; Malacostraca; Decapoda; Palinuridae
Description: partial 12S ribosomal RNA
Rfam family: Microsporidia small subunit ribosomal RNA
Source: RNAcentral